UAUUGAAAAAGGCAAACUUACUGAAAGGUAGGGACGCAAAGCCAUAGGUCUAAGGUCAUUCACGACUAAGAUAGCUAGGUUACCAAA
Anaerobacillus arseniciselenatis is the source of this 87-nucleotide regulatory RNA element. It matches the Rfam family "c-di-GMP-I riboswitch aptamer". Rfam says of the family: GEMM was predicted in a large-scale screen for bacterial structured RNA regulatory elements. Genes associated with GEMM are involved in a diverse array of functions, including chemotaxis regulation, signal transduction, secretion and chitin. Lineage: Bacteria; Bacillati; Bacillota; Bacilli; Caryophanales; Bacillaceae. The record is from Rfam.